Molecule: ribosomal RNA, 323 nt
Filed under: uncultured bacterium
Lineage: Bacteria
Description: bacterial SSU rRNA
Rfam family: Bacterial small subunit ribosomal RNA
Source: RNAcentral
AUUGAACGCUGGCGGCAUGCCUUACACAUGCAAGUCGAACGGCAGCGGACCUUCGGUGCCGGCGAGUGGCGAACGGGUGAGUAAUAUAUCGGAACGUACCUUUCAGUGGGGAGUAACGUAGCGAAAGUUACGCUAAUACCGCAUAUUCUGUGAGCAGGAAAGCAGGGGAUCGCAAGACCUUGCGCUGAUUGAGCGGCCGAUAUCAGAUUAGCUAGUUGGUGAGGUAAAGGCUCACCAAGGCGACGAUCUGUAGCGGGUCGUGAGAGGAUGAUCCGCCACACUGGAACUGAGACACGGUCCAGACUCCUACGGGAGGCAGCAGU